Molecule: transfer RNA, 76 nt
Filed under: Brachyspira pilosicoli B2904
Lineage: Bacteria; Pseudomonadati; Spirochaetota; Spirochaetia; Brachyspirales; Brachyspiraceae
Also listed under: 1 other name
Description: tRNA-Thr
Rfam family: tRNA
About the family: Transfer RNA (tRNA) molecules are approximately 80 nucleotides in length. Their secondary structure includes four short double-helical elements and three loops (D, anti-codon, and T loops).
Source: RNAcentral
GCCCACUUAGCUCAGCAGGUAGAGCAUCACCAUGGUAAGGUGAGGGUCAUCGGUUCAAUCCCGAUAGUGGGCUUUG